Molecule: transfer RNA, 65 nt
Filed under: Strombidium rassoulzadegani
Lineage: Eukaryota; Ciliophora; Spirotrichea; Strombidiidae
Rfam family: tRNA
About the family: Transfer RNA (tRNA) molecules are approximately 80 nucleotides in length. Their secondary structure includes four short double-helical elements and three loops (D, anti-codon, and T loops).
Source: RNAcentral
CUUGUGGCGUAAUGGAUAGCGCGUCGGACUUCGGAUCCGAAGGUUGUGGGUUCAAGUCCCAUCGG